Molecule: ribosomal RNA, 496 nt
Filed under: uncultured bacterium
Lineage: Bacteria
Description: partial 16S ribosomal RNA
Rfam family: Bacterial small subunit ribosomal RNA
Source: RNAcentral
GAUGAACGCUGGCGGCGUGCCUAAUACAUGCAAGUCGAGCGAACGGACGAGAAGCUUGCUUCUCUGAUGUUAGCGGCGGACGGGUGAGUAACACGUGGAUAACCUACCUAUAAGACUGGGAUAACUUCGGGAAACCGGAGCUAAUACCGGAUGAUAUUUUGAACCGCAUGGUUCAAAAGUGAAAGACGGUCUUGCUGUCACUUAUAGAUGGAUCCGCGCUGCAUUAGCUAGUUGGUAAUGUAACGGCUUACCAAGGCAACGAUGCAUAGCCGACCUGAGAGGGUGAUCGGCCACACUGGAACUGAGACACGGUCCAGACUCCUACGGGAGGCAGCAGUAGGGAAUCUUCCGCAAUGGGCGAAAGCCUGACGGAGCAACGCCGCGUGAGUGAUGAAGGUCUGCGGAUCGUAAAACUCUGUUAUUAGGGAAGAACAUAUGUGUAAGUAACUGUGCACAUCUGGACGGUACCUAAGCAGAAAGCCACGGCUAACUACGU